This 428-nucleotide long non-coding RNA is filed under the name Gorilla gorilla gorilla (western lowland gorilla). RNAcentral describes it as "lncRNA (ENSGGOG00000044510.1)". The record is from RNAcentral. Lineage: Eukaryota; Metazoa; Chordata; Mammalia; Primates; Hominidae.
CAACUUCUUCCCAAGCUCGUACCAAUAUGGAAGCUUCACCAAGCAGUCAAAUUUUUCUGUGUGAUCUUUGGAAGAGAAACGUAAUAUUGCAAGUUGUGAGUUCAAAACAAUGUUCAUAUGUACUAAAAACAGGGCUGUGAGUUUCAAGAGGGCAGAGGCAUGUCUGUUCACUUCUUUGUGACUAGGACCUAGCUCAGUGCCUGAACCACGGUAGAUUCUCACCACCUGUUUGAUUCUGAUGAAUUCACUGAGAACACCAACUCACUGGCACAGGCAGCACCUCCUUAAGAGUUUUCUUUUAAACCACCUUAGCAUUUAUGUGCUCCAACCUCAAAGGUAAGCAAAUCACAUUGCCUAUGUGAUAUCAGAGCUUAGCCACAGUCUGUUGAGUUGCUCAUGGUGUUAAGUGAGUUCCUCUAUGGAGCUUU